This 111-nucleotide transfer RNA is filed under the name Streptomyces iranensis. RNAcentral describes it as "tRNA-OTHER". It matches the Rfam family "tRNA". Rfam says of the family: Transfer RNA (tRNA) molecules are approximately 80 nucleotides in length. Their secondary structure includes four short double-helical elements and three loops (D, anti-codon, and T loops). The record is from RNAcentral. Lineage: Bacteria; Bacillati; Actinomycetota; Actinomycetes; Kitasatosporales; Streptomycetaceae.
GAUCACGUAGUCCAGAGGCCGAAGACGCCGCAUGCAGUAGGGAUCGAGUCCCGCCCUUCGGGGCAAGUGGCCACGCCUGCCGUAACGCCGGUUCGAAUCCGGCCGUGAUCA